RNAcentral lists this ribosomal RNA (465 nucleotides) under uncultured bacterium. Its description in RNAcentral is "partial 16S ribosomal RNA". It matches the Rfam family "Bacterial small subunit ribosomal RNA", at positions 28 to 507 of the family's 1533-position model. The record is from RNAcentral.
GACGAACGCUGGCGGCGUGCUUAACACAUGCAAGUCGAACGGAAAGGCCCCCUUGUGGGGUACUCGAGUGGCGAACGGGUGAGUAACACGUGAGUAACCUACCCUUGACUUUGGGAUAACUUCAGGAAACUGGGGCUAAUACCGGAUCGGAGCUCCUGCUGCAUGGUGGGGGUUGGAAAGUUUCGGCGGUUGGGGAUGGACUCGCGGCUUAUCAGCUUGUUGGUGGGGUAGUGGCUCACCAAGGCUUUGACGGGUAGCCGGCCUGAGAGGGUGACCGGCCACAUUGGGACUGAGAUACGGCCCAGACUCCUACGGGAGGCAGCAGUGGGGAAUAUUGCACAAUGGGCGGAAGCCUGAUGCAGCAACGCCGCGUGCGGGAUGACGGCCUUCGGGUUGUAAACCGCUUUCGCCUGUGACGAAGCGUGAGUGACGGUAAUGGGUAAAGAAGCACCGGCUAACUACGUG